CAAGGGAUGGCUAGGCCCACCUCCUCGCCACUCAGUUCGGCAUGGCGACUUACGUGAAGCCAAGGCUCUGUGGCCUAGUCACAGAAAGGAGGGAUACUGAGAGUAAAAAUCCUGUUCGUGAGCCCCAGCGAGACCAAACACCUACACUGUUUGGAUCUAGUGUGACAGUUCAAGUCAAGAAGACAUCCCCAGGCCUUGAAUAUUACUGAACAUUUUCAACUUGUAAAUGGUGCAAGCUGUGAAGAGUUGAAUCCAAGGAUAUAAAGGACUGAAUGAGUAUUCUAAGUGUCUCUCUCAGCUAUGGUAUGGUGAGCAAAGAUCAGCCCUCCACAUGUAAUUGAGCUGCAAUUCCCAGCACAUGCCCCUCCGCUGGUCAAGCUGGUGAAGACUGAUGGGAGUUGCCAAGUCUGGAAGGAAAAAUAUUAUGUCCUCCUGAGCAAUACAAAAUGGCCCUGAUUCAGUAGCAGAUUAUGUGCUUUCUGUAGCAGACGGAUCCAGGAUUCUGUCUCUUGCACUGCUAUUUUAAAUGGAUCCGGUAGCAAUGGUGGGAUGCCUAUGAGACUGGAUAGGUGGCCUGUGGCUAAUCUAGAUUAGGAAGUAAGGUACUUCCAAUCAAGGCAGGUCCUGUCCAAUCCGAGUAUUUUAGAAGAGAUUGAAACCAGAAUAUUACAUAUUAUAUUGGCAAGGUCACUAUGUUGUCCCCACAGUUUCAUCCCCCUUUUCCCUUUCAACAGAAAAUCUGUCAAAGAGGGGAAGAGCAGUUGCACAAGGCCUUUUUCUCCCUAUCUAGAAGUAUUCAUGCAAUCUCUCACCUGACAUAUAGUCUCUUGUAGUUCUUUUCAAUCCCAGCUCCACUCAACCAUCUUUGUCCUGUUCCAUGUGGUUUCUCUUGUCUGUCAGUUUCCUCAUCCUUAAACCACAAACUGAUUUGUUGACUUAUUCCCC
Anolis carolinensis (green anole) is the source of this 945-nucleotide long non-coding RNA. RefSeq lists it as uncharacterized. The record is from RefSeq and is a predicted model, not a curated record. The transcript has 3 exons. NCBI's taxonomy places the organism in Eukaryota, Metazoa, Chordata, Lepidosauria, Squamata, Anolidae.